CACUCACUCCUUCUCUGUUUUUGCUCUGCUCUCCUCUCUGCUCAAGCCCGCAGCUCGUCGCCGCCGUCCAGCAAGCCGCCCCAGCCAUGGUUUCGUGGAGUGAUUCCGGAUCCAGCUCCUACUCGUCAGGUGGCGACUCGGUCACCAGUCCGGUGAGAUCCCCAGGCCCUCCCACAAAGCGGCAUCAGCUGGAGGGGACGGGGUCAUGAAUGGAUCCAAUGCAAGCGUCCUCGGAGUCCAGCCUCGGAGCGAGAGCUGAUCCGGGCGGUCCUGGCCAAGAUGGGCCGCCUGGCUCCGUCUACUGUGGUGGCUGCGCCCCGUCUAUGCUCAGCUGCGGAUGGUUGAGCAUCUUGGAACCUGAAGAGUAGCGACCUGAAGAAGGUUCAGACUUGCCCUUGCCUAUGGCAGUUUACUAUGUUGCUGUUUUCUGUCUAGUGUUGGAUGCGUUAUGAGUAUGUUGUUGGUUACCAAGGUUCUCUAUCUACUAUCUGAACUCAGAAAGGAUUUGGCUUCAUUUGGGGGAUAGGAUUAAUCUAUGUCAGUACCUGAGAUGUUUCUUGAUAAACUAUUUCUUUAAGGAAUGUUUCAUGAAAAACUUGUUGAUGGGAAUAUGAUUUCUUUCCU
Long non-coding RNA from Triticum dicoccoides, 624 nucleotides. RefSeq lists it as uncharacterized. The record is from RefSeq and is a predicted model, not a curated record. The transcript is spliced from 2 exons. NCBI's taxonomy places the organism in Eukaryota, Viridiplantae, Streptophyta, Magnoliopsida, Poales, Poaceae.